This 468-nucleotide ribosomal RNA is filed under the name uncultured bacterium. RNAcentral describes it as "partial 16S ribosomal RNA". It matches the Rfam family "Bacterial small subunit ribosomal RNA", at positions 28 to 507 of the family's 1533-position model. The record is from RNAcentral.
GAUGAACGCUGGCGGCGUGCUUAACACAUGCAAGUCGAACGGAAAGGCCGAAGCUUGCUUCGGUACUCGAGUGGCGAACGGGUGAGUAACACGUGGGUGAUCUGCCCUGUACUUCGGGAUAAGCUUGGGAAACUGGGUCUAAUACCGGAUAUGACGAUCUCUUGGAUGGGGUUGUGGAAAGCUUUUGCGGUAUGGGAUGAGCUCGCGGCCUAUCAGCUUGUUGGUGGGGUAAUGGCCUACCAAGGCGUCGACGGGUAGCCGGCCUGAGAGGGUGUACGGCCACAUUGGGACUGAGAUACGGCCCAGACUCCUACGGGAGGCAGAAGUGGGGAAUAUUGCACAAUGGGCGCAAGCCUGAUGCAGCGACGCCGCGUGGGGGAUGACGGCCUUCGGGUUGUAAACUCCUUUCGCAAUCGACGAAGCCUUUUGGUGACGGUAGGUUGAGAAGAAGCACCGGCUAACUACGUG